GCCUCACAUGCUGUCUGCUCUGCAGGUUCCCAGUGUGUCUCCAGCUACCGUUGGGUGGACUUGUGCAGACAACUGUGAGGCAUCCCUGUUUCAGGUGCUGGGUUCCAUUUGCUGUUCUAGACAUUGCUGCAAAUGAGAUGCUGAGUCCCCAACUUUUAUUUUGAAUUGCCUUAUUCCCCUCUUUCAAUCUGCCUGUUUUGCUUCCUAUAUCUUGGAACUCUUAUCACGGUUAUGCCGUUUUGGUGGAUUUUGUUUCAUCAUGGUAAAACAUACUUAACUUUCUUGAGUGACGGCUUUUGCCUUAAACCCUAUUUUUUCUGGUAUUAGUACAGCUCCUCCCAUUCUCUUUGGGGGGCUGUUUGCAGGGAACAGCUCGUUUCUUCCUUUCAUUUUCAAUUGAUGUGCAUCGUUAAGUCUCAAGUGUGACUUUUUCAGUCAUUAUACCAUUGGAUCAUGGUUUUUGAUCUGCUCUUCCAUUCUCUGCUUUUUCUUUGCAAAGUCUGACCCAUUUACAAACCUGCCUUCACCACUGGAGACCACAGCAGAGACUCAUCUGACCUCCUACCCACAAAGCAUAAACAAUUACUCAUUCCACUCCUUACCAAGGCAUCCUCAAGAAAACUGUGACCUGCCCAUGACCUCUCCUCACUGGGCUCAGCUUCCUCCUCUGCAGGAGAAGUUGGGGCAGAUGCUGAGUCUUUUUUUUUUUUUUCCUUUGCUAUUUUAGACCCACACCCAUGGCAUACAAAUGUUCCCAGGCUAGGGGUUGAAUCAGAGCUGUAGCCACCAGUCUACACCAGAGCCACAGCAACAUGGGAUCCAAGCCACGUCUGCGACCUACACCACAGGUCACGGCCACACUGGAUCCUUAACCCACUGAGUGAGGCCAGGGAUCGAACCCGCAUCCUCAUGGAUCCUAGUUAGGUUUGUUAACCGCUGAGCCAUGAAGGGAACUCCGACACUGACUCUUCUUUUGACCGUCCACCUGUCCAGGGAGAGGCCUGCUCCCGGACCUCCCUCCUGCCUCCAUCACUCAGGAGCUGACAUUGGACCCCUACCUCCCUGUGAGUCAUAAGCACCUGCCACUUCCACCCACCAAACCUGAGUCCUGCCACCCCCUCCCCCUGCUGCCUGUCCUCUGCCCUCUCCACGUGCCACAGGACACCUGCCUGCCACCCAAAAGCUCCUGUGACCUCCUCACUGAGGCCUUGCUGGCUCACCACCUCCCCUCCUCCUACCCAGACGCCCCUCGACGCACAGACCGUCCUGCAGUUUCCCUGAGACGGUGCCACCCAAGCCUGCACCCCAGCAGCUCCCCCACCUGCACUGGGUCCUGGACAGCGUUUUAACAAAACUGACCUCACAUAUUUUUCAGAUUACAUUUACCUUUUUCACCCUAAUAUAUAAUUUCAUAUACAUUGUAAAUAUUGGCAUUUAAAAAAACCUCUUAGAUCUCUUUAGAAUGUAUGCCAUAGAAAACAAAUUUCAUACCAGUUUAAG
Molecule: long non-coding RNA, 1500 nt
Filed under: Sus scrofa (pig)
Lineage: Eukaryota; Metazoa; Chordata; Mammalia; Artiodactyla; Suidae
Description: lncRNA (ENSSSCG00030046140.1)
Source: RNAcentral